CCAGACUCCUACGGGAGGCAGCAGUGGGGGAUAUUGCACAAUGGGGGGAACCCUGAUGCAGCGACGCCGCGUGGGUGAAGGAGCGUUUCGGCGCGUAAAGCCCUAUCGGCAGGGAAGAAGGAGGACGGUACCUGACUAAGAAGCCCCGGCUAACUACGUGCCAGCAGCCGCGGUAAUACGUAGGGGGCAAGCGUUAUCCGGAUUUACUGGGUGUAAAGGGGGCGCAGACGGCAGCGCAAGCCAGGAGUGAAAGCCCGGGGCCCAACCCCGGGACUGCAUUUGGAACUGUGCUGCUAGAGUGUCGGAGAGGCAGGCGGAAUUCCUGGUGUAGCGGUGAAAUGCGUAGAUAUCAGGAGGAACACCGGUGGCGAAGGCGGCCUGCUGGACUGCAACUGACGUUGAGGCCCGAAAGCGUGGGGAGCAAACAGGAUUAGAUACCCUUGUA
RNAcentral lists this ribosomal RNA (445 nucleotides) under uncultured bacterium. Its description in RNAcentral is "partial 16S ribosomal RNA". It matches the Rfam family "Bacterial small subunit ribosomal RNA", at positions 331 to 792 of the family's 1533-position model. The record is from RNAcentral.